CAAGGAUGUCGCUGAAAAAAUCAUCACGAAAGGAGCCAAGCUUGAUUUAGGAGACUGCCAUGAUCGGACACCUCUUCAUUUAGCUGCUAUGAAUGAUCACAUGGAGGUUGUCGAAUUGCUCAUCACAAAAAAAGCUAAAGUUAAUCCUAAGGACGGUCUUAAGCGGACACCUCUUCAUUAUGCUGCUGAGAAUGGCAACGUACAAAUCGUUCAAAUCCUUGUGAACAAUGGAGCCAGUCUUAGUAUAAAAGAUUAUCGAAAUCAGAC
Sitodiplosis mosellana (orange wheat blossom midge) is the source of this 267-nucleotide long non-coding RNA. RefSeq lists it as uncharacterized. The transcript has 3 exons. NCBI's taxonomy places the organism in Eukaryota, Metazoa, Arthropoda, Insecta, Diptera, Cecidomyiidae. The record is from RefSeq and is a predicted model, not a curated record.